GCCCGGCUGGCCUAAUGGUAAGGCAUCAGACUUCUACGAUACCUAGUACGGAAAUCUGAGGAUUGUGGGUUCGACCCCCACGUUGGGUG
This is a non-coding RNA of Diatrype stigma, 89 nucleotides long. The record is from the annotation of a GenBank genome assembly. NCBI's taxonomy places the organism in Eukaryota, Fungi, Ascomycota, Sordariomycetes, Xylariales, Diatrypaceae.